Molecule: ribosomal RNA, 1954 nt
Filed under: Vibrio parahaemolyticus NIHCB0603
Lineage: Bacteria; Pseudomonadati; Pseudomonadota; Gammaproteobacteria; Vibrionales; Vibrionaceae
Description: bacterial LSU rRNA
Rfam family: Bacterial large subunit ribosomal RNA
Source: RNAcentral
GCGGGUGCUAACGUCCGUCGUGGAGAGGGAAACAACCCAGACCGCCAGCUAAGGUCCCAAAUUACUACUAAGUGGGAAACGAUGUGGGAAGGCUCAGACAGCCAGGAUGUUGGCUUAGAAGCAGCCAUCAUUUAAAGAAAGCGUAAUAGCUCACUGGUCGAGUCGGCCUGCGCGGAAGAUGUAACGGGGCUAAGUAGUAAACCGAAGCUGCGGCAAUGUGCUUUUGCACAUUGGGUAGGGGAGCGUUUUGUAAGCGGUUGAAGGUGUGUGGUAACGCAUGCUGGACGUAUCAGAAGUGCGAAUGCUGACAUGAGUAACGAUAAAGGGGGUGAAAAACCUCCUCGCCGGAAGACCAAGGGUUCCUGUCCAACGUUAAUCGGGGCAGGGUAAGUCGACCCCUAAGGCGAGGCCGAAAGGCGUAGUCGAUGGGAAACGGGUUAAUAUUCCCGUACUUCUUACAAUUGCGAUGGGGGGACGGAGAAGGCUAGGUGGGCCUGGCGACGGUUGUCCAGGUUCAAGUGCGUAGGCUUGAGAGUUAGGUAAAUCCGGCUCUUUUUAAGGCUGAGACACGACGUCGAGCCACUACGGUGGUGAAGUCAUUGAUGCCAUGCUUCCAGGAAAAGCCUCUAAGCUUCAGAUUGUAAGGAAUCGUACCCCAAACCGACACAGGUGGUCGGGUAGAGAAUACCAAGGCGCUUGAGAGAACUCGGGUGAAGGAACUAGGCAAAAUGGUACCGUAACUUCGGGAGAAGGUACGCUCUCGACGGUGAAGUCCCUCGCGGAUGGAGCUAUUGAGAGUCGCAGAUACCAGGUGGCUGCAACUGUUUAUUAAAAACACAGCACUGUGCAAAAUCGUAAGAUGACGUAUACGGUGUGACGCCUGCCCGGUGCCGGAAGGUUAAUUGAUGGGGUUAGACUUCGGUCGAAGCUCUUGAUCGAAGCCCCGGUAAACGGCGGCCGUAACUAUAACGGUCCUAAGGUAGCGAAAUUCCUUGUCGGGUAAGUUCCGACCUGCACGAAUGGCGUAAUGAUGGCCACGCUGUCUCCACCCGAGACUCAGUGAAAUUGAAAUCGCUGUGAAGAUGCAGUGUACCCGCGGCUAGACGGAAAGACCCCGUGAACCUUUACUACAGCUUGGCACUGAACAUUGACCCUACAUGUGUAGGAUAGGUGGGAGGCUUUGAAGCACGUACGCCAGUAUGUGUGGAGCCGUCCUUGAAAUACCACCCUUGUAGUGUUGAUGUUCUAACGUCGACCCCUUAUCGGGGUUGCGGACAGUGCCUGGUGGGUAGUUUGACUGGGGCGGUCUCCUCCCAAAGAGUAACGGAGGAGCACGAAGGUGGGCUAAUCACGGUUGGACAUCGUGAGGUUAGUGCAAUGGCAUAAGCCCGCUUGACUGCGAGAAUGACAAUUCGAGCAGGUGCGAAAGCAGGUCAUAGUGAUCCGGUGGUUCUGAAUGGAAGGGCCAUCGCUCAACGGAUAAAAGGUACUCCGGGGAUAACAGGCUGAUACCGCCCAAGAGUUCAUAUCGACGGCGGUGUUUGGCACCUCGAUGUCGGCUCAUCACAUCCUGGGGCUGAAGUCGGUCCCAAGGGUAUGGCUGUUCGCCAUUUAAAGUGGUACGCGAGCUGGGUUUAGAACGUCGUGAGACAGUUCGGUCCCUAUCUGCCGUGGGCGUUGGAAGAUUGAAGGGGGCUGCUCCUAGUACGAGAGGACCGGAGUGGACGAACCUCUGGUGUUCGGGUUGUGUCGCCAGACGCAUUGCCCGGUAGCUAAGUUCGGAAUCGAUAACCGCUGAAAGCAUCUAAGCGGGAAGCGAGCCCUGAGAUGAGUCUUCCCUGAUACUUUAAGUAUCCUAAAGGGUUGUCGGAGACUACGACGUUGAUAGGUCAGGUGUGUAAGUGCUGUGAGGCAUUGAGCUAACUGAUACUAAUUGCCCGUGAGGCUUAACCAU